CGCGAUUCGCCCUUCGGGGUGCAGCAGGCGCGAAAACUUUACAAUGCGGGAAACCGUGAUAAGGGGACACCGAGUGCCAGCAUCAUAUGCUGGCUGUCCGGGUGUGUAAAAUACACCUGUUAGCAAGGGCCGGGCAAGACCGGUGCCAGCCGCCGCGGUAACACCGGCGGCCCGAGUGGUGAUCGUGAUUAUUGGGUCUAAAGGGUCCGUAGCCGGUUUGGUCAGUCCUCCGGGAAAUCUGAUAGCUCAACUAUUAGGCUUUCGGAGGAUACUGCCAGACUUGGAACCGGGAGAGGUAAGAGGUACUACAGGGGUAGGAGUGAAAUCUUGUAAUCCCUGUGGGACCACCUGUGGCGAAGGCGUCUUACCAGAACGGGUUCGACGGUGAGGGACGAAAGCUGGGGGCACGAACCGGAUUAGAUACCCGGGUAGUCCCAGCCGUAAACGAUGCUCGCUAGGUGUCAGGCAUGGCGCGACCGUGUCUGGUGCCGCAGGGAAGCCGUGAAGCGAGCCACCUGGGAAGUACGGCCGCAAGGCUGAAACUUAAAGGAAUUGGCGGGGGAGCAC
This 567-nucleotide ribosomal RNA is filed under the name uncultured archaeon. RNAcentral describes it as "bacterial SSU rRNA". It matches the Rfam family "Archaeal small subunit ribosomal RNA", at positions 312 to 879 of the family's 1478-position model. The record is from RNAcentral.